RNAcentral lists this ribosomal RNA (1434 nucleotides) under uncultured organism. RNAcentral describes it as "16S ribosomal RNA". It matches the Rfam family "Bacterial small subunit ribosomal RNA". The record is from RNAcentral.
GCUUGCGGCGUGCUUAACACAUGCAAGUCGAACGGAAAGGCCCUGCUUUUGUGGGGUGCUCGAGUGGCGAACGGGUGAGUAACACGUGAGUAACCUGCCCUUGACUUUGGGAUAACUUCAGGAAACUGGGGCUAAUACCGGAUAGGAGCUCCUGCUGCAUGGUGGGGGUUGGAAAGUUUCGGCGGUUGGGGAUGGACUCGCGGCUUAUCAGCUUGUUGGUGGGGUAGUGGCUUACCAAGGCUUUGACGGGUAGCCGGCCUGAGAGGGUGACCGGCCACAUUGGGACUGAGAUACGGCCCAGACUCCUACGGGAGGCAGCAGUGGGGAAUAUUGCACAAUGGGCGGAAGCCUGAUGCAGCAACGCCGCGUGCGGGAUGACGGCCUUCGGGUUGUAAACCGCUUUCGCCUGUGACGAAGCGUGAGUGACGGUAAUGGGUAAAGAAGCACCGGCUAACUACGUGCCAGCAGCCGCGGUGAUACGUAGGGUGCGAGCGUUGUCCGGAUUUAUUGGGCGUAAAGGGCUCGUAGGUGGUUGAUCGCGUCGGAAGUGUAAUCUUGGGGCUUAACCCUGAGCGUGCUUUCGAUACGGGUUGACUUGAGGAAGGUAGGGGAGAAUGGAAUUCCUGGUGGAGCGGUGGAAUGCGCAGAUAUCAGGAGGAACACCAGUGGCGAAGGCGGUUCUCUGGGCCUUUCCUGACGCUGAGGAGCGAAAGCGUGGGGAGCGAACAGGCUUAGAUACCCUGGUAGUCCACGCUGUAAACGGUGGGUACUAGGUGUGGGGUCCAUUCCACGGGUUCCGUGCCGUAGCUAACGCUUUAAGUACCCCGCCUGGGGAGUACGGCCGCAAGGCUAAAACUCAAAGGAAUUGACGGGGCCCCGCACAAGCGGCGGGGCAUGCGGAUUAAUUCGAUGCAACGCGUAGAACCUUACCUGGGUUUGACAUGGAUCGGGAGUGCUCAGAGAUGGGUGUGCCUCUUUUGGGGUCGGUUCACAGGUGGUGCAUGGCUGUCGUCAGCUCGUGUCGUGAGAUGUUGGGUUAAGUCCCGCAACGAGCGCAACCCUUGUUCACUGUUGCCAGCACGUUAUGGUGGGGACUCAGUGGAGACCGCCGGGGUCAACUCGGAGGAAGGUGGGGAUGACGUCAAGUCAUCAUGCCCCUUAUGUCCAGGGCUUCACGCAUGCUACAAUGGCUGGUACAGAGAGUGGCGAGCCUGUGAGGGUGAGCGAAUCUCGGAAAGCCGGUCUCAGUUCGGAUUGGGGUCUGCAACUCGACCUCAUGAAGUCGGAGUCGCUAGUAAUCGCAGAUCAGCAACGCUGCGGUGAAUACGUUCCCGGGGCUUGUACACACCGCCCGUCAAGUCAUGAAAGUUGGUAACACCCGAAGCCGGUGGCCUAACCGUUGUGGGGGAGCCGUCGAAGGUGGGACUGGUGAUU